GUGCCAGCAGCCGCGGUAAUACCAGCUCUCCGAGUGGUGUGGACGAUUAUUGGGCCUAAAGCAUCCGUAGCCGGCUGGGCAAGUCCCCUGUUAAACCCAACGAUUCAAUCGUUGGCUCGCGGGGGAUACUGCUCGGCUAGGGGGCGAGAGAGGCCGUCGGUAUUCCCGGGGUAGGGGUGAAAUCCUAUAAUCCCGGGAGGACCACCAGUGGCGAAGGCUGUCGGCUAGAACGCGCUCGACGGUGAGGGAUGAAAGCUGGGGGAGCGAACCGGAUUAGAUACCCGGGUAGUCCCAGCUGUAAACGAUGCAGGCUAGGUGUUAGGGCGGCCACGUGCCGCUCUAGUGCCGCAGGGAAGCUGUUAAGCCUGCCGCCUGGGGAGUACGGUCGCAAGGCUGAAACUUAAAGGAAUUGGCGGGG
Molecule: ribosomal RNA, 418 nt
Filed under: uncultured prokaryote
Description: bacterial SSU rRNA
Rfam family: Archaeal small subunit ribosomal RNA
Source: RNAcentral